RNAcentral lists this small nuclear RNA (169 nucleotides) under Carlito syrichta (Philippine tarsier). Its description in RNAcentral is "U2 spliceosomal RNA (ENSTSYG00000032507.1)". It matches the Rfam family "U2 spliceosomal RNA". Rfam says of the family: U2 is a small nuclear RNA (snRNA) component of the spliceosome (involved in pre-mRNA splicing). Lineage: Eukaryota; Metazoa; Chordata; Mammalia; Primates; Tarsiidae. The record is from Rfam by way of RNAcentral.
AAAGGUUCUUGACCUUUUGGCUAAUAUCAGUUUAAUAUCUUAUAUAUCCUCUAUCUGAGGACAAUAUAUUAAAUGGAGUUUUGGAACAGAGAUUUGGAAUAGGAGCUUGUUCUGUCCACGCCACGCAUUGACCUGGUAUUGCAGUACCUCCAGGAACAGUGCACACGCA